Molecule: ribosomal RNA, 401 nt
Filed under: uncultured soil bacterium
Lineage: Bacteria
Description: bacterial SSU rRNA
Rfam family: Bacterial small subunit ribosomal RNA
Source: RNAcentral
AGAACGAACGCUGGCGGCAUGCCUAAUACAUGCAAGUCGAACGAACUCUUCGGAGUUAGUGGCGCACGGGUGCGUAACGCGUGGGAAUCUGCCCUUGGGUUCGGAAUAACAGUUGGAAACGACUGCUAAUACCGGAUGAUGACGAAAGUCCAAAGAUUUAUCGCCCAGGGAUGAGCCCGCGUAGGAUUAGCUAGUUGGUGAGGUAAAGGCUCACCAAGGCGACGAUCCUUAGCUGGUCUGAGAGGAUGAUCAGCCACACUGGGACUGAGACACGGCCCAGACUCCGUACGGGAGGCAGCAGUAGGGAAUAUUGGACAAGUGGGACGAAAGCCUGAUCCAGCAAUGCCGCGUGAGUGAUGAAGGCCUUAGGGUUGUAAAGCUCGUUUUACCCGAGAUGAUAA